ACUGCCACCAGAGGCGUUGCAGAUGUGGCUGCUGUGUCACAUUUGUGUCAUUAGGUGGCAGAAAGAAGAAAGGCUACGUCUACGCUGUCUCAGAGUUCUGACCCGUGGACGUCUGAAUGAUUAGUAGUCUGACAUU
This 136-nucleotide small nucleolar RNA is filed under the name Dasypus novemcinctus (nine-banded armadillo). RNAcentral describes it as "Small nucleolar RNA SNORA17 (ENSDNOG00000031450.1)". It matches the Rfam family "Small nucleolar RNA SNORA17". From Rfam's summary of the family: snoRNA ACA 17 belongs to the H/ACA family of snoRNAs and is predicted to guide pseudouridylation of the 28S rRNA at positions U4659 and U4598. It shares the same host gene together with ACA43. Lineage: Eukaryota; Metazoa; Chordata; Mammalia; Cingulata; Dasypodidae. The record is from RNAcentral.